Molecule: ribosomal RNA, 253 nt
Filed under: uncultured bacterium
Lineage: Bacteria
Description: partial 16S ribosomal RNA
Rfam family: Bacterial small subunit ribosomal RNA
Source: RNAcentral
UACGAAGGGGGCUAGCGUUGUUCGGAAUUACUGGGCGUAAAGCGCGCGUAGGCGGACAUCUAAGUCAGGGGUGAAAUCCCAGGGCUCAACCCUGGAACUGCCUUUGAUACUGGACGUCUGGAGUUCGGGAGAGGUGAGUGGAAUUCCGAGUGUAGAGGUGAAAUUCGUAGAUAUUCGGAGGAACACCAGAAGCGAAGGCGGCUCACUGGCCCGAUACUGACGCUGAGGCGCGAAAGCGUGGGGAGCAAGCAGG